This 168-nucleotide ribosomal RNA is filed under the name Archidendron bigeminum. RNAcentral describes it as "5.8S ribosomal RNA". It matches the Rfam family "5.8S ribosomal RNA". From Rfam's summary of the family: 5.8S ribosomal RNA (5.8S rRNA) is a component of the large subunit of the eukaryotic ribosome. It is transcribed by RNA polymerase I as part of the 45S precursor that also contains 18S and 28S rRNA. Functionally, it is thought that 5.8S rRNA may be involved in ribosome translocation. The record is from RNAcentral. Lineage: Eukaryota; Viridiplantae; Streptophyta; Magnoliopsida; Fabales; Fabaceae. RNAcentral also lists the same sequence under 6 other names.
GACUCUCGGCAACGGAUAUCUCGGCUCUUGCAUCGAUGAAGAACGUAGCGAAAUGCGAUACUUGGUGUGAAUUGCAGAAUCCCGUGAACCAUCGAGUCUUUGAACGCAAGUUGCGCCCGAAGCCGUUAGGCCGAGGGCACGUCUGCCUGGGUGUCACGCAACGUCGCC